Molecule: ribosomal RNA, 339 nt
Filed under: Triticum aestivum (bread wheat)
Lineage: Eukaryota; Viridiplantae; Streptophyta; Magnoliopsida; Poales; Poaceae
Description: partial small subunit ribosomal RNA
Source: RNAcentral
AUGGCUAAUAUGAAUAAUUAUAUUAGGACUGCUGCGAUGUACGGUAUCAUAUGCAUUCGACCAUCAAGAAUCAGUAUUGGCAGCAAAGAUUCUAGGAGAGCACCUCUUGCGAUUUACAAAUGUACUUCGGAUUCUAGCAGAGGACGACGGCUCGUGCGGUGGUGUCGGCAAACGAUGGCCUCAGUGGGUGGACGCCGACACAUGCAGCUGGUGCACGAUGGUGACUUCAUGGAGCUCAUGUUCCAAGCAACCCUCUCCUUGUUGGCUCAGGAGGUUCGCGAUCGAGCUUGGGCUGCUGAUACCUCUUCCUCGCCGCCCAACAGGAAUAGCAUGAGAUGA